This 419-nucleotide ribosomal RNA is filed under the name uncultured Bacteroidota bacterium. Its description in RNAcentral is "bacterial SSU rRNA". It matches the Rfam family "Bacterial small subunit ribosomal RNA", at positions 608 to 1029 of the family's 1533-position model. Lineage: Bacteria; Pseudomonadati; Bacteroidota. The record is from RNAcentral.
CUUAACCGCGGACGUGCCUUUGAAACUGCUGCUCUUGAGUCCCGGAGAGGUUGCCGGAAUUCGUGGUGUAGCGGUGAAAUGCGUAGAUAUCACGAGGAACACCAGAGGCGAAAGCGGGCAACUGGACGGGUACUGACACUGAGGCACGAAAGCGUGGGGAGCAAACAGGAUUAGAUACCCUGGUAGUCCGCGCCGUAAACGAUGAAUGCUCGCCGUUGCCUCGUUAGGGGGCAGUGGCUAAGCUAACGCGUUAAGCAUUCCGCCUGGGGAGUACGAUCGCAAGGUUGAAACUCAAAGGAAUUGACGGGGGCCCGCACAAGCGGUGGAGCAUGUGGCUUAAUUCGAUGCAACGCGAAGAACCUUACCUAGGCUCGAACGCUAGGCGACCGCUCCUGAAAGGGAGCUUUCCGCAAGGACGC